CCUACGGGAGGCUGCAGUGAGGAAUACUGGUCAAUGGACGAGAGUCUGAACCAGCCAAGUAGCGUGAAGGAUGACUGCCCUAUGGGUUGUAAACUUCUUUUAUAUGGGAAUAAAAUGUUCCACGUGUGGGAUUUUGUAUGUACCAUAUGAAUAAGGAUCGGCUAACUCCGUGCCAGCAGCCGCGGUAAUACGGAGGAUCCGAGCGUUAUCCGGAUUUAUUGGGUUUAAAGGGAGCGUAGGUGGAUUGUUAAGUCAGUUGUGAAAGUUUGCGGCUCAACCGUAAAAUUGCAGUUGAAACUGGCAGUCUUGAGUACAGUAGAGGUGGGCGGAAUUCGUGGUGUAGCGGUGAAAUGCUUAGAUAUCACGAAGAACUCCGAUUGCGAAGGCAGUUCACUGGACUGCAACUGACACUGAGGCUCGAAAGUGUGGGUAUCAAACAGGAGUAGAUACCCUUGUAGUC
This 460-nucleotide ribosomal RNA is filed under the name uncultured bacterium. Its description in RNAcentral is "partial 16S ribosomal RNA". It matches the Rfam family "Bacterial small subunit ribosomal RNA", at positions 338 to 795 of the family's 1533-position model. The record is from RNAcentral.